GACGAACGCUGGCGGCGUGCUUAACACAUGCAAGUCGAACGGAAAGGCCCUGCUUUUGUGGGGUGCUCGAGUGGCGAACGGGUGAGUAACACGUUAGUAACCUGCCCUUUACUUUUGGAUAACUUCAGGAAACUGGGGCUAAUACCGGAUAGGAGCUCCUGCUGCAUGGUGGGGGUUGUAAAGUUUCGGCGGUUGGGGAUGGACUCGCGGCUUAUCAGCUUGUUGGUGGGGUAGUGGCUUACCAAGGCUUUGACGGGUAGCCGGCCUGAGAGGGUGACCGGCCACAUUGGGACUGAGAGACGGACCAGACUCCUACGGGAGGCAGCAGUGGGGAAUAUUGCACAAUGGGCGGAAGCCUGAUGCAGCAACGCCGCGUGCGGGAUGACGGCCUUCGGGUUGUAAACAGCUUUCGACUGUGACGAAGAGUGAGUGACGGUAAUGGGUAAAGAAGCACCGGCUAACUACGUG
This 468-nucleotide ribosomal RNA is filed under the name uncultured bacterium. RNAcentral describes it as "partial 16S ribosomal RNA". It matches the Rfam family "Bacterial small subunit ribosomal RNA", at positions 28 to 507 of the family's 1533-position model. The record is from RNAcentral.